Molecule: ribosomal RNA, 331 nt
Filed under: uncultured Pseudomonadota bacterium
Lineage: Bacteria; Pseudomonadati; Pseudomonadota
Description: bacterial SSU rRNA
Rfam family: Bacterial small subunit ribosomal RNA
Source: RNAcentral
CGCGUAGGUGGUUAUAUAAGAUUGUUGUGAAAUCCCUGGGCUUAACCUAGGAACUGCAACGAUGACUGUAUAGCUUGAGUAUUGUAGAGGGUAGUGGAAUUUCCGGUGUAGCGGUGAAAUGCGUAGAGAUCGGAAGGAACACCAGUGGCGAAGGCGGCUACCUGGACAAAUACUGACACUGAGGCGCGAGAGCGUGGGGAGCAAACAGGAUUAGAUACCCUGGUAGUCCACGCUGUAAACGAUGAAGACUAGAUGUUGGGCAGCUUGACUGCUUAGUAUCGAAGCAAACGCGAUAAGUCUUCCGCCUGGGGAGUACGGCCGCAAGGUUAAA